CACCAGACUCCUACGGGAGGCAGCAGUGGGGGAUAUUGCACAAUGGGGGAAACCCUGAUGCAGCGACGCCGCGUGUGGGAAGACGGUCCUCUGGAUUGUAAACCACUGUCCCCAGGGACGAAGAUGACGGUACCUGGGGAGGAAGCUCCGGCUAACUACGUGCCAGCAGCCGCGGUAAUACGUAGGGAGCAAGCGUUGUCCGGAAUUACUGGGUGUAAAGGGAGCGUGGGCGGGAUGGCAAGUUGGGUGUUAAAUCUACCGGCUCAACCGGUAGCCGCACUCAAAACUGCAGUUCUUGAGUGAAGUAGAGGCAGGCGGAAUUCCUAGUGUAGCGGUGAAAUGCGUAGAUAUUAGGAGGAACACCAGUGGCGAAGGCGGCCUGCUGGGCUUUUACUGACGCUGAGGCUCGAAAGUGUGGGGAACAAACAGGAUUAGAUACCCGGGUAC
Molecule: ribosomal RNA, 447 nt
Filed under: uncultured bacterium
Lineage: Bacteria
Description: bacterial SSU rRNA
Rfam family: Bacterial small subunit ribosomal RNA
Source: RNAcentral